This 729-nucleotide ribosomal RNA is filed under the name Arthrobacter sp. RNAcentral's name for it is "bacterial SSU rRNA". It matches the Rfam family "Bacterial small subunit ribosomal RNA", at positions 98 to 839 of the family's 1533-position model. The record is from RNAcentral. Lineage: Bacteria; Bacillati; Actinomycetota; Actinomycetes; Micrococcales; Micrococcaceae.
GCGAACGGGUGAGUAACACGUGAGUAACCUGCCCCCGACUCUGGGAUAAGCCCGGGAAACUGGGUCUAAUACCGGAUAUGACCUCGCACCGCAUGGUGCGGGGUGGAAAGAUUUAUCGGUGGGGGAUGGACUCGCGGCCUAUCAGCUUGUUGGUGAGGUAAUGGCUCACCAAGGCGACGACGGGUAGCCGGCCUGAGAGGGUGACCGGCCACACUGGGACUGAGACACGGCCCAGACUCCUACGGGAGGCAGCAGUGGGGAAUAUUGCACAAUGGGCGCAAGCCUGAUGCAGCGACGCCGCGUGAGGGAUGACGGCCUUCGGGUUGUAAACCUCUUUCAGUAGGGAAGAAGCGAAAGUGACGGUACCUGCAAAAAAAGCGCCGGCUAACUACGUGCCAGCAGCCGCGGUAAUACGUAGGGCGCAAGCGUUAUCCGGAUUUAUUGGGCGUAAAGAGCUCGUAGGCGGUUUGUCGCGUCUGCCGUGAAAGUCCGAGGCUCAACCUCGGAUCUGCGGUGGGUACGGGCAGACUAGAGUGAUGUAGGGGAGACUGGAAUUCCUGGUGUAGCGGUGAAAUGCGCAUAUAUCAGGAGGAACACCGAUGGCGAAGGCAGGUCUCUGGGCAUUUACUGACGCUGAAGAGCGAAAGCAUGGGGAGCGAACAGGAUUAGAUACCCUGGUACUCCAUGCCGCAAAAGUUGGGCACUAGGUGUGGGGGACAUUCCACGAUU